AUUGAACGCUGGCGGCGGGCCUAACACAUGCAAGUCGAACGGUGACAGGAAGAAGAUUUCUUCUUUUCUGACGCGUGGAGGACGAGUGAGGGAUGUCUGGGAAACUGCCUGAUGGCGUGGGAUAUCUACUGGAAACGCUAGCUGAUACCGCUUAACGGACCACGUCCAAAGGGGGGGCCCUUCGGGCUUCUUGCGACCUGAGGUGUCCAGAUUGGGUUAGCUAGGAGGGGGGGUAACGGCUCCGCUAGGCGACGACCCCUAGAUGGUCUGAGAGGUUGACCAGCCACACUGGAACUGAGACACGGUCGCGACUCCUACGGGGGGCAGCAGUGGGGAAUAUUGCACAAUGGGGGCAAGCCUGAUGCAGCCAUGCCGCGUGUAUGAAGAAGGCCUUCGGGUUGUAAAGUACUUUAGGAGGGGAGGAAGGGAGGCAAGUUAAUACCUUUGCUCAUUGACGUUACCCGCAGAAGAAGCACCGGCUAACUCCGUG
RNAcentral lists this ribosomal RNA (490 nucleotides) under uncultured bacterium. RNAcentral's name for it is "partial 16S ribosomal RNA". It matches the Rfam family "Bacterial small subunit ribosomal RNA", at positions 30 to 507 of the family's 1533-position model. The record is from RNAcentral.